Molecule: small RNA, 87 nt
Filed under: Enterococcus faecalis
Lineage: Bacteria; Bacillati; Bacillota; Bacilli; Lactobacillales; Enterococcaceae
Description: RNA anti-toxin A
Rfam family: RNA anti-toxin A
Source: RNAcentral
UAUUAUAAAUGAAAAUAGAGCUGUGCGCUAACACAACUUUCUAGUGUAGAACCGUUUAAGACGGUAGCAAAUUUAGAUUAUUUUAAG